This is a long non-coding RNA of Leptopilina heterotoma, 476 nucleotides long. RefSeq lists it as uncharacterized. NCBI's taxonomy places the organism in Eukaryota, Metazoa, Arthropoda, Insecta, Hymenoptera, Figitidae. The transcript is spliced from 2 exons. The record is from RefSeq and is a predicted model, not a curated record.
AAACAAGGCGAAGCCUAUCUCAAGUUUUCCGGUGUUCGACUGUUCCGCGCGACCUCCUCGGGAAAAUUUACAACUAAAUAGUGACGUCUGCUUUUAAAGCACUGUGAAGUGUUUACAUUUGAAUGACAUAAAUAAUAAUUUAAAUAAUUACUUAUUAUUUAAUUAUGGGAGCAAAAUAAGACUAUUUGACAAUAUUAUUAAUUAUUAAAAAGAAAAACAAAGAAUCAUGGAAUAUUCGAUGGAAAAACUUACAUUUGAAGAGUGUAAGAUCAAAUUUAAUAAAUCACAAUUACCUUCUGAUAAGUGGUAUCAUAUGACAAGAAACAAAGAAUUUAUUUCGUUUAUAAAAUUGGAAUAAAUAAAGUCAAUCUUUGACAUUUCUAACGGGCGCUCUUUAAUUUGAAAUUGGUAGCAGGCGAACCACAUAUACCACUUAGUUGUAAAUUUUCCCGAGGAGGUCGCGCUGAACAGUCGGA